This 168-nucleotide ribosomal RNA is filed under the name Esox masquinongy (muskellunge). RNAcentral describes it as "partial 12S rRNA". Lineage: Eukaryota; Metazoa; Chordata; Actinopteri; Esociformes; Esocidae. The record is from RNAcentral.
CACCGCGGUUAUACGAGAGGCCCUAGUUGAUAGUCGUCGGCGUAAAGAGUGGUUUAGAGAAUAAUAGAAUAAAGCCGAACACCCCCUUAGUUGUUAUACACAUUUGAAGACACGAAGCCCUACCGCGAAAGCAGCUUUAAACAUUCUGAACCCACGACAGCUGUGAAA